Molecule: unclassified non-coding RNA, 26098 nt
Filed under: Haliotis rufescens (red abalone)
Lineage: Eukaryota; Metazoa; Mollusca; Gastropoda; Lepetellida; Haliotidae
Description: endoribonuclease Dicer-like, transcript variant X1
Source: RNAcentral
CAUGCGUUUUAGCGUCUGCAUUUACAAAUUUGAGCUUUCACCUGAAUCAGAAACCGAAGUAAAUGCAUUUUUGGCAAGCGAGACGCAAAUUGGAAUGAAUAUGAAGUAAAAACUACUUUUGGGGUUGGAAAGAAAGCCAAUCAAGUCUCCUAACUUAAAGAUGGUCAAAGGUGGACCAGAGUUUAAUAAAAGACUACCCAGAUUUCUGCGACAUGAAGACAUACCAACAGAUACCUUUACACCCAGGACAUACCAGGUGGAGCUGCUUGAUGCGGCAUUACACCGCAACACAAUCAUAUGCCUGGGUAGUAACUCAGGCAAGGCCUUCAUCGCACUCAUGGUCAUCAAGGAGAUGGCCCACCAGAUCAGGAAGGCCUAUGACACCGGGGGGAAGAGAACUGUCUACCUGGUGGUGUCCGACCUUGCGGCCGAGGUUGAGUGGCAGAUCCUCCAGCACCACACUGACCUGACGGUCGGCAAGUACACCUCUGACACCGACCUCGACGACUGGAAACAGGAAGACUGGCUGGCGGAACUCACAGAGAAGCAGAUCCUUGUCAUGGUAGCAGACGUGUUUCACACCGCCCUCGACAAUAACUUCCUACCACUGUCCAGCCUCAAUCUGGUUAUAUUCGAUGACUGCCAUCUUGCAGUCGGGGAUCACCACUAUGUCCAUAUCAUGGAACAUCUAUCCCCUGCAUCGGGAGAAGAGCAGCCGCAGAUUCUUGGUCUGACUGCAGCCAUAUUGGGGAGUCGAUGCAAUGACCCCUAUGAACUGCGGAAUGCAAUCACAUCACUUGAAGCUAUGUUACAUUCCAGAGCUGAAACUUCCAUGCUUGUGAUCUCAGAGAGGUAUGGUUCACGCCCCAAAGAGGUUGUGUACCAGUGUGAACCGACUGAGCCCCUGGACAUCACCAUAGUGCUGAAGAGCAUCCUUGAGAAUGCGCUGUUCUUCCUGUAUGAGUUGCAGUUCACGGAAGAAGAGUGUGGGAAGAAGGAUCCCCGGCACAUUCCCAAGAAUGCUUUGUCAGAAUGUCACAAUAUUCUGCUCCGACUUGGUCCGUGGUGUGCAGCCCGUAUUGCAGAAAUGUUGAUAACUCAAAUUGAAAAAUCAGAAAAACAGGAAAGCAAUCCAAUUCCUAAAAGACUGCUUCGCUUCGCAUCAACUCAGCUUCGAUACAUCACAAAGGUUUUUGAUAAAGACUUCACGCCGGAUUAUGUUGUUGAAGAAUUCCUGGAGUAUACAACACCUAAGGUUGUUCAACUUGUUGACAUUUUACGGAAGUACAAACCAGAUUUAGACUUUAUGAUUAUUAGUAACGAAGAUUCCGGGAUGUCGGAUGAAUCAGAUCUGUCUGAUGACUCCAUGGAUUUGUCCGAUUCAGACGAUGAUGAUGGAAGUCCAAGUUCUCAUUCUAACAAACAAAUUCAUAUUGCAGUCAAACGUAGCAUGGAGGGGUUUGAGGAUAGAGCUGUUAGCUGUUUCCUUGGUCCAGAUGAGAAAAAGUUGAUAGGAAUUGUGUUUGUAGAGCAGAGAUAUGUAGCAUUUGCCUUGAACAAACUUAUAGAGGAGGUGUGUGGUUGGGACGAGAAUCUGUGUUUUAUCAAGAGCAACCACCUGACUGGGCCAGGAUGGAAAGCAGGCAAGCAGAAGAAGGACACAGGGAGGGUGUAUCGUAAGCAGGAGGAGACGCUGCGCAAGUUCCGCAUGCAGGAGCUGAACCUCCUGAUAUCCACCAGUGUCCUUGAGGAAGGAGUGGACAUCCCCAAGUGUAACCUUGUUGUCCGUUUUGAUCCCCCCAAAGACUACAGGUCCUACACGCUUGCCAAGGGUCGGGCGCGAUCGAGGGAUGCUGAGUACAUAAUCCUGGUGGAGAGAGAUAAGAAGAACACCUUCACUGAGGAACUCAAGAUCUUCAAGGGAAUAGAGGAGGUUUUGAUCGGGGAUGGAAGAGGUCGGAAAGAUUUAGCAGAUGAUGGAGAUGAGAUCAAUCCUGAUACAGUUGUCACCAUGCUGCCGCCAUAUUGUCCAACUGACAACCCAGCUGCUCCCAAGGUCACCAUGCAGACGGCCAUUGCCCUGGUCAACAGGUACUGUGCAAAGUUACCCAGUGAUGCCUUCACCCAUCUAACACCUCACUGUUCCGUUGCCGUGGUUCCUGACACGGACGCUCAGAUGUUUGAGGCCUCGCUCAGACUACCAGUGAACUCGUCCAUAAAGCAGGAGAUAAUGGGUGUGGCCAUGCCUUCCAAGAAGCUUGCCAAGAUGGCCGUUGCUUUGAAGAUGUGUGAGAAGUUACAUAAAGCAGGUGAGCUGGAUGACAACUUAAUGCCUGUAGGGAAGGAGAUGUUUGUCUACGAGGAGGAAGAAGAGUGGGAGGAAGAGGAUGUCACUGGACAGGCUCGCCCAGGGACAACCAAGAGAAAGCAGUACUACUACAAAAAAGCAGCGGAUGCAUUUGUUCACAGUCAUGUCCGCCCAGACGAGCCCUGCAACCUGUACUUCAUCAACCUCAAACUAACAGGGCCAAUCACAGACGAGCAGAACACCCGUGGCAGACGCAUAUAUGCACCCGAGGAUACUGCACAGUCCCUGGGUCUACUCUCAUCAAAAGAAAUUCCCCUAGUCCCUCAUUUUCCGGUGUACACACGGUCAGGGGAGGUAACUGUCUCUGUGGAUCUGAUCCAGUCAAAUGUGGUGCUAAGCCAGGAAGACCUGAAGAAGAUAGGGAAAUUCCAUCAGUUUGUGUUCACCAGCGUCCUUCACCUUGAGAAAGACCCCAUGGAGUUUGCUGUUUCUAGUGCAGACGUCGGCUACCUUAUUGUACCACUUGACAAAGACUUGUCCACUGAGAGUGGGCUUGGAAUACAGUGGGAUUUUGUGAACAUUGUCCAAUCCACUGCCAAGCCAGAGAAGAAGAAGAAUGUGUUUGACAAAAAGCGAGGUGCAUUUGAGUUCCGCCAGGAGGACUUUGCAGACGCUGUAGUGAUGCCAUCAUACCGCAAUAUCGACCAGCCCCAACACUUCUACGUAGCUGAAAUCCGUUUGGACCUUAACCCAACCAGCCCCUUCCCUUCACCAGAGUUGUACAAAACAUUCAACGAAUACUACACCACCAAGUAUGGCCUGACUAUCACCAACACUGACCAGCCCCUCCUCGACGUGGACCACACGUCUGCUCGCCUCAACCUCCUCACUCCGCGCUACAUGAACCAGAAGGGCGUGGCUCUGCCAACCAGCAGUGCCGAGACCAAGCGUGCUCGGCGGGAGAACCUACAACAGAAGCAGAUCCUAGUCCCUGAGCUGUGUGAUAUACAUGUGUUCCCAGCGUCUCUGUGGCGGAAGGCUGUCUGUCUGCCAGCUGUCCUGUACAGGAUGAACUAUCUUCUCCUGGCGGAGGAGAUUAGGAAACGCAUCGCGAAGGAAACAGGCAUAGGGGUAGUGGAGUUGCCGUGUGACUUUACAUUCCCACAGUUGGAUUUCGGGUUUGAAACAAAUCCUGAAAAGUUGAAAUGUGAUGCCGAGGAGGGGCAGGACAAGGAUGCCAGUGAUGAUGAUAAGCAGAACUCCUUCGAAAGGCAAGAAAGUCCGACGGAGGAUGUACAUUCGUGUGAUUCUAGUCAGAAGUCGGAUGAAAAGGACAAAGUGCCGUCCAGUCCUAGUGAAAGUAGUCCCCCUGCUAUCUCCCAGGAGGACCUGAAGGCAAUAGAGGACAAGGGAGAGAUGUCAUCAGACAGUGAUUCAGGCAUUGCCUCAGCAGGCUCAGAAGUCAGUGUAGCAGACAUUGGAGCUCACUCUAAGUGUGAUACUAAUACUACUGACCUGUCUCCCCAGCCAAACAGCAGCACAUCUGAUGCAGAUUCUAGCACCGCAAGUAUACAGUCCAAGACUGACAAUGUAGAUAGCAGUGUCACACAGGUACAGCCUAAGACAGACUGUGUUGUUUCAAAUACCAGUGCCACAGGCAAACAGCCUACGACAGACUCUGUUGUGUCAGAUGUAGAUACAAGUUCCACAGGUGAACAGCUUAACACUGACUGUGUUGUGCCAGAUACAGGUACCAGUGCCACAGGCAAUCAGCCUACGACGGACUGUUUUGUGUCAGAUACAGAUACCAGUGCCCCAGGCAAACAGCGUACGACAGAUUGUGUUGUGUCAGAUACAGAUACCAGUGCCACAGGCAAACAGCGUAUGACAGACUCUGUUGUGUCAGAUGUAAAUACCAGUUCCACAGGCAAACAGCGUACGGCAGACUGUGUUGUGUCAGAUACGGAUACCAGUGCCACAGGCAAACAGCGUACGACAGACUGUGUUGUUUCAAAUACCAAUGCCACAGGCAAACAGCGUACGACAGACUGUGUUGUGUCGGAUACAGAUACCAGUUCCACAGGCAAACAGCGUACGGCAGACUGUGUUGUGUCAGAUACAGAUACCAGUGCCACAGGCAAACAGCGUAUGACAGACUGUGUUGUGUCAGAUACAGACACCAGUGCCACAGGCAAACAGCGUACGACAGACUGUGUCGUGUCAGAUACAGAUACCAGUGCCACAGGCAAACAGCGUACGACAGACUGUGUUGUGUCAGAUACAGAUACCAGUUCCACAGGCAAACAGCGUACGGCAGACUGUGUUGUGUCAGAUACAGAUACCAGUGCCACAGGCAAACAGCGUACGACAGACUGUGUUGUGUCAGAUACAGAUACCAGUUCCACAGGCAAACAGCGUACAACAGACUGUGUUGUGUCAGAUACAGAUACCAGUUCCACAGGCAAACAGCCUACGACAGAUUGUGUUGUGUCAGAUACAGAUACCAGUGCCACAGGCAAACAGCGUAUGACAGACUCUGUUGUGUCAGAUGUAAAUACCAGUUCCACAGGCAAACAGCGUACGGCAGACUGUGUUGUGUCAGAUACGGAUACCAGUGCCACAGGCAAACAGCGUACGACAGACUGUGUUGUGUCAGAUACAGAUACCAGUUCCACAGGCAAACAGCGUACGACAGACUGUGUUGUGUCGGAUACAGAUACCAGUUCCACAGGCAAACAGCGUACAACAGACUGUGUUGUGUCAGAUACAGAUACCAGUUCCACAGGCAAACAGCGUACGACAGACUGUGUUGUGUCAGAUACAGAUACCAGUUCCACAGGCAAACAGCCUACGACAGACUGUGUUGUGUCAGAUACAGAUACCAGUUCCACAGGCAAACAGCGUACAACAGACUGUGUUGUGUCAGAUACAGAUACCAGUGCCACAGGCAAACAGCGUACGACAGACUGUGUUGUGUCAGAUACAGAUACCAGUUCCACAGGCAAACAGCGUACGGCAGACUGUGUUGUGUCAGAUACGGAUACCAGUGCCACAGGCAAACAGCCUACGACAGACUGUGUUGUGUCAGAUACAGAUACCAGUUCCACAGGCAAACAGCGUACGACAGAUUGUGUUGUGUCAGAUACAGAUACCAGUUCCACAGGCAAACAUCGUACAACAGACUGUGUUGUGUCAGAUACAGAUACCAGUGCCACAGGCAAACAGCGUACGACAGACUGUGUUGUGUCAGAUACAGAUACCAGUUCCACAGGCAAACAUCGUACAACAGACUGUGUUGUGUCGGAUACAGAUACCAGUGCCACAGGCAAACAGCGUACAACAGACUGUGUUGUGUCAGAUGUAAAUACCAGUUCCACAGGCAAACAGCGUACGGCAGACUGUGUUGUGUCAGAUACAGAUACCAGUUCCACAGGCAAACAUCGUACAACAGACUGUGUUGUGUCGGAUACAGAUACCAGUGCCACAGGCAAACAGCCUACGACAGACUGUGUUGUGUCAGAUACAGAUACCAGUUCCACAGGCAAACAGCGUACGACAGACUGUGUUGUGUCAGAUACAGAUACCAGUUCCACAGGCAAACAACCUACGACAGACUGUGUUGUGUCAGAUACAGAUACCAGUUCCACAGGCAAACAGCGUACGGCAGACUGUGUUGUGUCAGAUACAGAUACCAGUUCCACAGGCAAACAACCUACGACAGACUGUGUUGUGUCAGAUACAGAUACCAGUUCCACAGGCAAACAACCUACGACAGACUGUGUUGUGUCAGAUACAGAUACCAGUUCCACAGGCAAACAGCGUACGGCAGACUGUGUUGUAUCAGAUACAGAUACCAGUGCCACAGGCAAACAGCUUACGACAGACUGUGUUGUGUCAGAUACAGAUACCAGUGCCACAGGCAAACAGCGUACGACAGACUGUGUUGUGUCAGAUACAGAUACCAGUGCCACAGGCAAACAGCGUACGACAGACUGUGUUGUGUCAGAUACAGACACCAGUGCCACAAAUAUGCAGAAGAAUUUUAUCACAUCUGCAGCAGACACAAAAACCACUGCAACCGCUAGUACCACAAACAUGGAGUCUCAGACCGACUGUAUAGUGCCAGAUAAGGAAACCAGAACAGGUCCCAAACCUAAGAAUGACAGUAAAAGGUCCCAAUCAGAAGCCAGUUACACUGGUACACAAUCACCUCAGACAGAUUUUCCUGUAGCUGAUACAGAAACUACUACCAAGUGUUUAAGAUUCCUAAAUAAACCCAUAAUUGGUACACAACCCCAGACAGAUUGUGUCAUCCCUGGUACAGAAUCCAGUAUCACUGGUGCACAACAUCCAACAGAUUGUAUCGUAUCUGAUACAGAAACCCGUGUGUCUGGUACGCAAGCCAAUACAGACUGCACCGUGCCUGAUACAGAACCGAGUGUUGUCAGUAAACAUCAACAUGAACAUUGCAGCAAGUCAUUUGCAAAACACUGUGACGUUCAAACCAAAACUUUUACAGAUGAUACUCCUUUAGUCACAGCCAAUGUGAUAGAAGUUUUAGAUAGAGACGCAAAAUAUGACAAUGUGUUAGAAACAAACUCUAUGCAGGUUAAGAACAGAAAUGAUUCUUUAUGCCAUAAUGCCAGAAAUGCAUGUGAAAACUUUGUGGAGCAAUCAGAAACUGCAGAUUCUGAAGGGAACGAUACUCAAUGGUGCUCAACUGAAGUUAGCAAUGCAACUGUCUGCAGUAACGCACAGUCCACAGGUGCCACUCCGGAGUCAGGUGACCCUGCAGGACCUCCAGCCUGCCCAGAUCAUGACUCGGUGCUCAACACUUCACCUAGUACAGCACACACUGGAACAAACAUAACACACAAUCAAACUAGUCACUCAUCAGAAAGGUGCUCAUCAUUAACCCAUGCUCAUUCCAAUAUGGUAAUCUCAGAACCUCUCAAAGAAGAUGUCCAAGCUGAUCCUCCGAUGUCAGACGUGCCAGACUCAUCCCUUUUGGUGGACCAAUUUCAGUAUGCAUCCACUGCAACCGAGGAUGACUCGUCAUCCAGUGUCUGUGGUGCACUGUCUGGUGUAACAGUUCCUAAUGCGAUGGAUUCAUGCCAACUCAUGAUCUCAGAAACAGAACAAUCUAGUACAAAGGAUGAUUCAGAAAACCCUGCUCAAAUUAGGCUUGAUGAUCAAAGAAAGGACAGUGUGGAGGCUGACUUCCCGACUGCUCAAUACUCCGAUGCAAUCAAAGAGUCCUCAGUGUCAAAAAGUGACCUUCUUACUGAACCAGGUGCCGAAACAGUGUUCAAUGCAAAUCCUGUGUGUGAUUCUUCAGACCAGAUGAAAGACAGCCCAGCCUCGGGGUGGGAUGAUGAACCUAUGUCACAGUUGACCACGAUAGGGGGUCCUCCAAUUAGGCAGAAACAGGAAGGGGCUGAAAGUAACUGCUGUGAUACGGACAACGCUGAGUCCUAUGGUAACGAUGCUGAUGCUGACUUCGGUGUCUGGUCCUUCCCAGGUUGUGGAGAGCCUUGUCCUGACAGUGAUGCUUCCUCAUCCACAACAUCAGAAGAGGUGGAACUGGAAGUGACAUCUCAACCUAACAUCUGCCUGGAUGAGGACAGAGAUCUCAGUACUUUUGUGGGACCAAGCCCCUGCCUCAUUUUACAGGCGUUAACAAUGUCCAAUGCUAAUGACUUUUUCAGUUUGGAAAGAUUAGAGACUAUUGGUGACUCCUUUCUCAAGUAUGCCAUCACCGUGUACCUCUACUGCUCAUACCCAGGCAUUCACGAAGGGAAGCUGAGUUACCUCAGGAGCAAGCAAGUCAGUAAUUACAACCUGUAUAGACUCGGUAGGAAGCGACGUUUAGCUGAGUGCAUGGUGUCAGCCAAGUUUGAGCCCUAUGAGAACUGGCUGCCCCCGGGGUACAUCAUCAACGAGAACAGGAGGAGGGGCCCGGUGCCUAGAGUCGUCAUUGCCAACUCGGGCAAGAAAACGUCAAGCAGUAAUGCCAAAAAGUCUGAAACUGAUUCCACAGUGGCCAAAUUAUUCGAGGACAAGAAGGAAACAGGUGGUAGUAAAAAGACAGAAGUGUGCGAUGUGAUAAGUGACAAAGAGAAAUCGGAUAGUAAAGUUGAAUCUGAGGAGUCAGAAGGAAACAUGACAGAGAAACAUGCAGCCGGAAGUGAAACUGAGGACGUUCAUGGUGGUAAUGUUGAAUCUGAAGGAAGUGUGACCCAGAAACUUGAAACUAAAGACAUGCAUAGUGUUGAUAUCAAAUCUGAAGCCAAUGUGACCCAGAAACUGGAAACUGAAGACAUGCAUAGUGUUGAUGUGAAAUCAGAAGGAAAGGUGACCCCAAAACUUGAAACUGAAAACAUGCAUAGUGUUGAUAUCAAAUCUGAAGCCAAUGUGACCCAGAAACUUGAAACUGAAGACAUGCAUAGUGUUGAUGUGAAAUCAGAAGGAAAGGUGACCCCAAAACUUGAAACUGAAAACAUGCAUAGUGUUGAUAUCAAAUCUGAAGCCAAUGUGACCCAGAAACUGGAAACUGAAGACAUGCAUAGUGUUGAUGUGAAAUCAGAAGGAAAGGUGACCCAGACUCUUGAAGCCGAGGAGAAGCAUCUCAUUAAUGAGGAUUGUGAAGAAAAAAUGCCAGAGAAACAUGAAUCUGACAAGCACAGCACUGAUCUGGAUUCCAAAGAAAGUGGAACUGAGGAAACAGAAACUGAAAACAAGCAUAGCAUUGAUGCUAGUUGUGAAGAAGGCAUAUCUGAGGAUGCUGGUAGUGAUACUGAAUCCACUGUUGUGGACGUAGAUGAUGGUCUUGAGAACAUACCUGUGCUCUCUGACAGUGAUGCUAGUCACGCAUCAGCAGCUACAGAACAAAUGACAGCUGUGUCCACCAAUGACAGUGGUGAGGGGACAGUAGAACAAAGUGGAGGUGUGCCACCGAUGAGUGAUGUAGAACGCCAGAAGUUUGACCAGGAGCUUGAAGAGAUUGACUUGAUCCAAGAGGCUGACAAGAUAGAGGAUCUGACUGACGACACGCUGGCUUUAGUGCCCUACAGUCUACAGACGCAGCACGGGAUCCCAGACAAGAGUGUGGCCGACAGUGUGGAGGCUCUGAUUGGCUGCUAUCUGACCACAUGUGGGAAGAAGGCAGCGCUGAUGUUCAUGUCAUGGCUGGGGCUGAAGGUGUUGCCGAGGAAGGACCACCGAGUGGGUGCGGUUCGCAGGAAGGAGGGGCAGCAGCGGUUGACAACUUUAUCUCUCCACCAGGUGAGUGAGUACGAGUUUAAGGAGCUUCAGUGUCCCCCGUCGCCGCUGUUCCUGGCAGGGCACCACCACGCCAACAACAUGCUGCUCCAUCUCCUGGACGGCUACAACGUCUUUGAGGAGAAGAUUGGCUACACCUUCCAGGACCGGUCCUACCUGCUGCAGGCCUUCACACACGCCUCCUACCAUUACAACUCCAUCACUGACUGCUAUCAGAGGCUGGAGUUCCUGGGGGAUGCCAUCCUGGACUAUGUGAUCACCCGCCAUCUGUACGAGGACUCACAGAAGUAUUCCCCGGGCAUCCUGACAGACCUGAGGUCCGCCCUCGUCAACAACAACAUCUUUGCAGCUCUGGCAGUGAAGUGGGACUUCCACAAGUACUUCAAGGCCAUUUCUCCAGCACUGUUCCACGUCAUCGAGAAGUUUGUCGCGAGACAGAAGGACAAGGAGGAUGAGAUUGAUAUUGAGGAUGAGUUCCAGAUGUUGGAGGAUGGGGACGAGGACAGUGAGCAGGUGGAGGAGGUGGAGCUGGAGAUACCCAAAGCUCUGGGAGACAUCUUCGAGUCUGUUGCUGGCGCCAUCUACCUGGACAGCGGCAUGUCCCUGGACACUGUGUGGAGGGUGUAUUACCGCAUCAUGCGGCCACAGAUAGAAAAGUAUCUGAAGAGCAUCCCCAAGUCUCCUGUGAGGGAGCUAUUGGAGCUGGAACCAGAGACAGCCAAGUUCGAGAAACCAGAACGCACAAUGGAAGGGAAGAUCCGAGUGACAGUGAAUGUGGUGGGCAAGGGAGUCUUCAGUGGUAUUGGUCGCAACUACAGAAUCGCAAAGAGUGCUGCUGCCAAGAAAGCUUUGAGAAUCAUCCGCUCUAUGCAAAUGGGGGUGCUUGACUGACAAGCAAGUGCUCAGCAAGUCUGCCUUGACCUGUGACCUCUUCAUGCCAUACCUCAGUCCGGACUGUAGUCCCAGCAAACUGACCAUGCCUUCCAGUCUUCUGUCCACUGACUGACCAGGCCUGGGAGUUUUCUAUUCUAGGUCCCUGAUGAGACAGGGCACCUUUUGACCUUGACCUUCAUGUAGUACAGACACUAGUUUAAGGCACUUGAAAAUAUUUGUUUAUGUUUUAUUUAUAAGAACAAUGGUACAGAAAGUUGAAAUUGUAAAUAAUCAGAAUUUAGAUAUGAGAUUAAGGUAUAAGAUAUAUCACAUAUAUGUAUAUGUUAUUAUAACCUAUUUGUGUUGUAAUAAUAGAUUCAGGGGUGUCGGAAAGUAAAAUUAAUCAUACACACUACUGUUCAAAACAAAUGUCUCCCCUAUCACAUCUUUGGCUCAUUUGAUUUCAGGGGAUGUUUAUUUUGGAAAGUAGUGUAGCUCUAGUCAAGUUUCUUGAAACUGGAUGUGCUGCAGUGUUUCCAGUCAUUCAGGAUAGUGUUGCGUGUUAGUUUUACCCCGUACCCUGUCGCUGACUAAUAGUGCAUUCAGAACAUUUAUUUAUGUUUAAUUUAUUUUUGUGUCCUUAAAGUGAGACAAAAGUUGAACAUGUUUCUGUUAGCCUGCAACAAUAUACUUUGUCACGAUAUGUUUCUCGAUAGUCACGAUAUGUUUCUCGAUAGUCACAAUAUGUUUCUCGAUAGUCUCAAAAGUCAUGAUAUGUUUCUCGAUAGUCACGAUAUGUUUCUCGAUAGUCACGAUAUGUUUCUCGAUAGUCAUGAUAUGUUUCUCGAUAGUCAUGAUAUGUUUCUCGAAAGUCAUGAUAUGUUUCUCGAUAGUCACGAUAUGUUUCUCGAUAGUCACGAUAUGUUUCUCGAUAUUCAUGAUAUGUUUCUCGAUAGUCUUGAUACGUUUCUUGACAGACAUAUUUUUCUUGAUAGUCAUAGUAAAGGUUUCUCUAUAGUCAUGUCAUGCCAUUCUCGGUAGUCAUGAUUUGUUUAAAAAAAAUAAUAGUCUAGGUUCUCAGGCACCACCCACAUCAUCAUGAGAUCUUCUGCAUGUUUCGUUUUUAUUUCCAUUUUAAAAAAAAUAUAAAAUAUCUUUAAAUAUUCCGCUUCUCAAACAUAUGACCCCGGCAGUUAAAUGCUCAAAAGCUUAAAAACAACAAGAUUUCCCCGAAAUUAAUGUAAAAAGGUUUUGGUUACAUAAUAGCUGGAACAACAAAAUAAAUACCACUGCCUGCCGGCACAAAAAAUUCAAAAGCCAUUGCCUGAGAACCAAUUCUAUUAUCUUUUUAAGCCUUAUAGUCACGAUGCAUUUCUCAAUAGUCAUGAUGCGUUUCUCAGUAGUCACGAUUCGUUUCUCAAUAGUCACGAUGCGUUUCUUAGUAGUCACGAUGCGUUUCUCAAUAGUCACGAUGCGUUUCUCAAUAGUCACGAUUCGUUUCUCAGUAGUCACGAUUCGUUUCUCAAUAGUCACGAUGCGUUUCUUAGUAAUCACGAUGCGUUUCUCAAUAGUCACGAUGCGUUUCUCAAUAGUCACGAUUCGUUUCUCAGUAGUCACGAUUCGUUUCUCAAUAGUCACGAUGCGUUUCUUAGUAAUCACGAUGCGUUUCUCAAUAGUCACGAUGCAUCAUUCCAUACGUACAACCUCAUGGCAUUUUAAGUUUUCUUUUAUUGAAGAGAAUGACCAGAGACAACCAAAUUAUUUUUUGGGACAGGUUUAGCAAUGUUUUUAUCAUAUUCACUGGCUUCUGACCUCUUGUACAUACCACCUGGAGAUAGUAUUUUACACUUCAUCUUCAUAUGUAAAACAUCAUACCUUCAUUUGUACUGUAUAGAUGCAUGUAUCGUGACACAGCAAUCUUAACAAAGUGUAUCAUGGCACAGUGGAUCUUAGUAACAUAAAUCGUGAUACAGAUAUGGACAAAGCGUAUCGUGAUACAGCGCAUUUUAACAAAGUGUAUCAUGGCACAGUGGAUCUUAGUAACAUAAAUCGUGAUACAGAUAUGGACAAAGCGUAUCGUGGCACAGUGGAUCUUAGCAAAGUGUAUCAUGGCACAGUGGAUCUUAGUAACAUAAAUCGUGAUACAGAUCUUGACUAAGUGUAUCGUGGCACAGUGGAUCUUAGCAAAGUGUAUCAUGAAACAGCUGAUCUUAGCAAAGUAUAUCAUGGCACAGCAGAUCUUGACAAAAUGUAUCAUGAUACAGAUCUUAGCAAAGUGUAUCGCGGCACAGCAGAUCUUAGCAAAGCGUAUCGUGACAGUGUGUAUCAUGCCAAAGCAUAAUGUGGCAAAGUGUAUUGUGGCACAGCAGAUCUUGGCAAAGCGUAUCGUGGCAUAGGGUAUUGUGAUGUAUCAUUAAUUUCAGUAUGUCCAUCACAGCCCUGUUGGCGAUAUACUCUUGAGAAUAACGACAUACUCCUGUAGUUCUGUAAGUCGUGUACAUUAAAAUGUAAUAUCUUCUCCCACUUUUUGUCUGUUUGGAUGUAAAGGGUCAUGUUUUGUGAAAUGUACUCGCUUGAAACAUCCGAGACAUCAUCUGAUUGCUGAAGCCUGAGUCAUUCCAUUAUGCAGUAAAUCUAAUGUAGGUAUAUUUUGUGUUGUGAUUUCAAGUGAUGCUAAUGAUUAGUGCUGAGUAAUGGAUUCGGGUUCCGUGUUUUUGACAUUCCUAUGAAAUUAAUAAAGCCUCAUUUCAGCUGAUUGUUGAAGUGAAUGUUUUUUAUAAAUCACUAUUUUCUAAGAUUUGAAACUAUCAGAUAGUUUUAGUAAAUAUACAUAUAUAUAUGUGCUCGUUAAUCUGCCAUUAUCAUAUACACUAAGUAUGUAUUAAUCAUGCUUGUUAUGCAAAGACUUAUAAAAUUAACCAUAUUUCUUCCUAUUUUGAAAACAUCAAAACAGUUUUUGCAAUGUGAGAUAGACUUUUUUCUUAAUAGAUUCUGGGGCUUUUUUAUGAAUCAGUUUGUUUGCAGAAUAAGUUUGGCUAAUAAAUUGGCUAAAGCUUGUGGUCAAAAUGAAAAUAAAAUUUUGAUGAUGUCUCUGAAGGGUAAUGUCAGAAGGCAAGAAAACAACUAAAUUGGUUUUUUUAAAAUGUCAGUUCAAAGGGUUCCUUCCCUUCCAUUAUUCUCUAACCUCAUUCAAUACUUUCAUACCCUGACAGACUCAAACAAACGCAGUCAAACUCAAAAUGUUAGUUAUAUUCAACCCUUUUGGAAUUUUUGUCCUAUGGAUCUUAAUCCAAAUAAUUGCUAAAUACAUCAUCUGAGCCUUGUUCUACUUAAUUCAGAGGUAUCUACUGGGCACUGUUUCACAAAGAGAUCUUAGGGCUAAGAUGACUUAACUUAAUACUUUAACACAGAUGACAGUCGUAGUGCUAUGAGGGCUUUGUGGAACAGGGCCCUGUUCUAUAAAAAAAGCUUAGUACUCUGACUCUCAUAGGUCAAUGUUAAAGUAUGGGAGUUACAAUCAUCUUCGUGCUAAGAUCGCUUUGUUGAAUGGGGUCAAAACUUGUAUCCAAUUCAGUGCAUCUUGUAUCUACUGGAACUCAAUGUCUAGUUCACAGCAACAAGGAACAAGAUACUCUCUAUAUAGCCAUCUUGUUAGUUAUAUACAAAAGAGCAUAAUGGUGCUUUCUGCACGGUUUCUUGCUGAUAUACAAACUGUAUGCAAACAUUGGACACACACUGAAUCUGUUGUGUGUAGAUUGGAUGAGGCCACAACAGGUUGAUUACUUGUUUGUUAAUGUCACGAUACAAGAGCACAUGACACUGCAUUGUGAGUUCAUAUACUGAGAUGAAAGGGUAAAAGUGCACUAUGAUUCACAGAUAAUUUAAGGUAUGACCAUGAGAUAUUUCUUCUGUAUUGUCCAUUGUACAUUGUCCAUUGUCCCCGCUGUAUUCCAAGAUUCCGUGGUCGCGGAAUAUUUUGCAAAAAUGCCCACUCGGUUCAAAAAUGUAUGUUUCUUGCAGAGAAUCAUGUUUUGUGCAGAACUUGUUCAGAAUUUAUCUGCCGAGGAACUUUGUCAAGGAACGCUUGUUUCAAACGUGUAAUGAAUAUUUAUUUUGUUUUGACGUGAAGUUGGCUUUUGUAUCACUGGUUACUGAAAGUACAUGUCUGUAUGUUUACCUUAGUGAUCUCCAGAUUCGCUUCAAUAAGCUAUUCUAGCCGUGGAUUAGAUUAUAAAACCAUGCCUGUCACAAGUCAAACAGAUGCAAAAAUAUGAAAUUAACGGAAACUAAGAAAAAAUACAGAAUUACCAAAAUGUGAUUGCGGGAAUUAAAAAAUUGACCGCCGAAAUUGUCUUUUCUUUUGGCCACAGAAUGCAGUGGGGACUGAUUGUAACAAUUCUGGUGAUGGCUUGAAUGUAUCACUCGGUGAAUUCUUGCAUUUCUGUGUUUUCAUAACCACCAGAUUGAAACACCAUCUCAGACACAUAGAAACAUCUUCUUUGAGUUAUCAGUGGCUGUUGAAAGUGUGUCAAAAGUAAUAGUGUGUUCAAUUUUCAUUCAGUUGCUGAUAAUUCACGAUUUUUUCAAAUCAAAUAUUUUAUAUCAAAUAUAUUUCAAAUAUUUUUCUGGUUAUUUAAAAAAAAAAAAUCUAACAAACAAUUGAUCAGUUUAUUGUGGCCUCAACUUGUAUAAUGUUCUCAUAAUUUGUUUAAGUGAUAUGACUAUGUUGAUUGUAGGUCAAGGUCAUUUAUACCAUGUUCACUUUCACAAGUGCUGUUAUCAUGUCUACAUAGUCAUUGUUGAAUCUUGUCAUGUGUUUUGUAUAGCUAACUUAUACUAUUUUAUGUACAAUUUAUCUACAAAUAGCGCUUACGAUUAAAGGUAGGAGUCGUCGUUUAUGGAUAGUGUGCUGUUUUUGUGAGUUUUUGAAAUGGCAUGCGUGGUCCUUCGUUGGUAAAGUUGCAAUAGUCUCGUCUUUCAUCCCACUUGGUCAAUGGCAUCGCAUUGGUUGGAAACCUAACAUUGGCUACGUAUUUAACAAAUAUAGAAUAUCUGAAUGAAAUAUAACUAUUUUCCAUUAUAUAUCAUUUUUUCAUUGAGAACAUUUUCACACUUUUAAAUGUUUUAUGAAUAUCUUACUGAUAUUGUCAAUCAUGAUUUGCUUGUAAUGUCGAUCAUCAUAUCAGUCAUGUCAAUUGUGAAUGAUUCAGCUCACUUUGCUUGACAUUUUCUCAAUCAAGAGUGGAAGCUGUUAACAAAGCAUCAAAUAUUGAAAUAUUUCAAAUGAAAAUUAGAAAAUGUUUAUUUUGCACUUGCUCAGCCUAUAUACAAUGUUGAUGUGGCUCCUAUAUGCAGGCUUGACAUGGCUCCCAUAUACAGGCUUGACAUGGCUCCUAUAUACAGGCUUGACAUGACUCCCAAAUACAGGCUUGACAUGGCUCCUAUAUACAGGCUUGACAUGGCUCCUAUGUACAGGCUUGACAUGGCUCCUAUGUACAGGCUUGACAUGGCUCCUAUGUACAGGCUUGACAUGGCUCCUAUAUAUACAGGUUUGACAUGGCUCCUACAUACAGGCUUGACAUGGCUCCUAUGUACAGGCUUGACAUGGCUCCUAUAUAUACAGGUUUGACAUGGCUCUAUGUACAGGCUUGACAUGGCUCUAUGUACAGGCUUGACAUGGCUCCUAUGUACAGGCUUGACAUGGCUCCUAUGUACAGGCUUGACAUGGCUCCUAUAUAUACAGGUUUGACAUGGCUCCUACAUACAGGCUUGACAUGGCUCCUAUGUACAGGCUUAACAUGGCUCCUAUAUACAGGCUUGACAUGGCUCCUAUGUACAGGCUUGACAUGGCUCCUAUGUACAGGCUUGACAUGGCUCCUAUGUACAGGCUUGACAUGGCUCCUAUAUAUACAGGUUUGACAUGGCUCUAUAUACAGGUUUGACAUGGCUCCUAUAUACAGGCUUGACAUGGCUCCUAUGUACAGGCUUGACAUGGCUCCUAUGUACAGGCUUGACAUGGCUCCUAUAUAUACAGGUUUGACAUGGCUCCUAUAUACAGGCUUGACAUGGCUCCUAUAUACAGGCUUGACAUGGCUCCUAUAUACAGGCUUGACAUGGCUCCCAUAUACAGGCUUGACAUGGCUCCUAUAUACAGGCUUGACAUGGCUCCUAUGUACAGGCUUGACAUGGCUCCUAUGUACAGGCUUGACAUGGCUCUAUGUACAGGCUUGACAUGGCUCCUAUGUACAGGCUUGACAUGGCUCUAUGUACAGGCUUUACAUGGCUCCUAUGUACAGGCUUGACAUGGCUCCUAUAUAUACAGGUUUGACAUGGCUCCUAUGUACAGGCUUGACAUGGCUUCUAUGUACAGGCUUGACAUGGCUCCCAUGUACAGGCUUGACAUGGCUCCUAUAUAUACAGGUUUGACAUGGCUCCUAUGUACAGGCUUGACAUGGCUCCUAUGUACAGGCUUGACAUGGCUCCCAUGUACAGGCUUGACAUGGCUCCUACAUACAGGCUUGACAUGGCUCCUAUGUACAGGCUUGACAUGGCUCCUAUGUACAGGCUUGACAUGGCUCCUAUAUACAGGCUUGACAUGGCUCCUAUAUACAGGCUUGACAUGGCUCCUAUGUACAGGCUUGACAUGGCUCCUAUGUACAGGUUUGACAUGGCUCCUAUGUACAGGCUUGACAUGGCUCCUAUGUACAGGCUUGACAUGGCUCCUAUGUACAGGCUUGACAUGGCUCCUAUGUACAGGCUUGACAUGGCUCCUAUGUACAGGCUUGACAUGGCUCCUAUGUACAGGUUUGACAUGGCUCCUAUGUACAGGCUUGACAUGGCUCCUAUGUACAGGCUUGACAUGGCUCCUAUAUAUACAGGCUUGACAUGGCUCCUAUAUAUACAGGCUUGACAUGGCUCUAUGUACAGGCUUGACAUGGCUCCUAUAUACAGGCUUGACAUGGCUCCUAUGUACAGGCUUGACAUGGCUCCUAUGUACAGGCUUGACAUGGCUCCUAUGUACAGGCUUGACAUGGCUCCUAUAUAUACAGGUUUGACAUGGCUCCUAUAUAUACAGGUUUGACAUGGCUCCUAUAUACAGGCUUGACAUGGCUCCUAUGUACAGGCUUGACAUGGCUCCUAUAUACAGGCUUGACAUGGCUCCUAUGUACAGGCUUGACAUGGCUCCUAUAUAUACAGGUUUGACAUGGCUCCUAUGUACAGGCUUGACAUGGCUCCUAUAUACAGGUUUGACAUGGCUCCUAUGUACAGGCUUGACAUGGCUCCUAUAUACAGGCUUGACAUGGCUCCUAUGUACAGGCUUGACAUGGCUCCUAUGUACAGGCUUGACAUGGCUCCUAUAUACAGGCUUGACAUGGCUCCUAUAUACAGGCUUGACAUGGCUCCUAUGUACAGGCUUGACAUGGCUCCUAUGUACAGGCUUGACAUGGCUCCCAUAUACAGGCUUGACAUGGCUCCUAUAUACAGGCUUGACAUGACUCCCAAAUACAGGCUUGACAUGGCUCCUAUAUACAGGCUUGACAUGGCUCCUAUGUACAGGCUUGACAUGGCUCCUAUGUACAGGCUUGACAUGGCUCCUAUGUACAGGCUUGACAUGGCUCCUAUAUACAGGUUUGACAUGGCUCCUAUGUACAGGCUUGACAUGGCUCCUAUGUAUAGGCUUGACAUGGCUCCUAUGUACAGGCUUGACAUGGCUCCUAUGUACAGGCUUGACAUGGCUCCCAUAUACAGGCUUGACAUGGCUCCUAUGUACAGGCUUGACAUGGCUCCUAUGUACAGGCUUGACAUGGCUCCUAUAUACAGGUUUGACAUGGCUCUAUGUACAGGCUUGACAUGGCUCCUUUAUACAGGCUUAACAUGGCUCCUAUGUACAGGCUUGACAUGGCUCCUAUGUACAGGCUUGACAUGGCUCCUAUAUAUACAGGUUUGACAUGGCUCCUAUAUACAGGCUUAACAUGGCUCUAUGUACAGGCUUGACAUGGCUCCUAUAUACAGGCUUGACAUGGCUCUAUAUACAGGCUUGACAUGGCUCCCAUAUACAGGCUUGACAUGGCUCCUAUAUACAGGCUUGACAUGGCUCUAUGUACAGGCUUUACAUGGCUCCUAUGUACAGGCUUGACAUGGCUCCUAUGUACAGGCUUGACAUGGCUCCUAUAUACAGGCUUGACAUGGCUCCUAUGUACAGGCUUGACAUGGCUCCUAUAUAUACAGGCUUGACAUGGCUCCUAUGUACAGGUUUGACAUGGCUCCUAUAUAUACAGGUUUGACAUGGCUCCUAUGUACAGGCUUAACAUGGCUCCUAUAUACAGGCUUGACAUGGCUCCUAUAUAUACAGGUUUGACAUGGCUCCUAUGUACAGGCUUGACAUGGCUCCUAUAUAUACAGGUUUGACAUGGCUCCUAUGUACAGGCUUGACAUGGCUCCUUUAUACAGGCUUGACAUGGCUCUAUGUACAGGCUUGACAUGGCUCCCAUAUACAGGUUUGACAUGGCUCCUAUAUACAGGCUUGACAUGGCUCCUAUGUACAGGCUUGACAUGGCUCCUAUAUACAGGCUUAACAUGGCUCUAUGUACAGGCUUGACAUGGCUCCUAUAUACAGGCUUGACAUGGCUCCUAUAUACAGGCUUGACAUGGCUCCUAUGUACAGGCUUGACAUGGCUCCAAUGUACAGGCUUGACAUGGCUCUAUAUACAGGCUUGACAUGGCUCCUAUAUACAGGCUUAACAUGGCUCUAUGUAUAGGCUUGACAUGGCUCCUAUAUACAGGCUUGACAUGGCUCUAGGUACAGGCUUGACAUGGCUCCUACAUACAGGUUUGACAUGGCUCUAGGUACAGGCUUGACAUGGCUCCUAUAUACAGGCUUGACAUGGCUCCAAGAAUUUUUCAUAUUGAACUGUUUAUUAGUCUGUACAGAUUAUUGUCUCCACCGUGACAAAACACGAGGUUACAUUAUGACCAAGUAUGUCCCAUGACAUUUGUAAUUAGUCGUUUGUUAUGUAACGUUGAUAUAUGAUACAGUUUGUUUAGUCUGAUGGUGUCUAUGGUUUAGCCUAGCUGUUGCAAGCAUGCUAAUGUUAUCUGUUUUCCCCUUUCCCUCCCGUCUAAUAACUCUGUUUUGGAGACACAGCUAACCUAAGGCAGCAUGACUGGAAGUACAAUGAAUGCAGGACGUUGCCUGCGAAUGUUUGGGGCCAGACUUGGUAGAAAGUGUGGUUUGUGACGCCAGGGUUGGGAGGGUAUGAGAUGUUUCACAUUACAGAUCUCUGUGGGGACUUGAUGCAGGAUCUUCUGGCAUGGUCUCCAGGAUCUUCUGGCAUGGUCUCCAGGAUUAACGUUGUCUGCUGUGUUUUCCCUUCACUUCACUACUGACGUAUAUGGGGAGUCCUCUUCAUGACCAACCAGCCUGUGAACAAUAUUGGGGUAAACCCAAGGCAAAGAUAUUUUUGCAAGUGUUUUCUGGAUAAAAUUAUUCUUUUGUAAAAAAUUCUUGGCCAUGCUUGGUGACUAUCCUCCCACAUUAAACUGACGUGCGAUGAUAACCUUCUAAACAACGUACAUCCCUGCUAUGAAAUCAGAAGGAUAAAAGUAUCUAUUGUUAUAACAAUCAGCAGAACCAGAGCUCUUAAUAUUGGUAUUGAUAUAAGUAUGUGAUAAUGGUUAUGGAUCCUAUUGUAAGAUGAGUAGGGCAAUGAAUAUCCCUUUUGUUGACACAGGAUUUUGUGUGUGUGUGGGGUGUGUGUGUGUCUUAUAACCAUACACAACAAGUCAGAUAUUAUUUCAGAGAUCGAUGGAAGGAACUUAGUGCAAACAUUGCGAGAAACUAAAGCUUUUUCGAUAAUAAUUACGAGGCAAUUAUAUCCCCCCUUCUUAACUGCUGAUUUUUUCUGUAGAAAAUGUUUAAUAUGCACAGGAAAAUAUGGACUACCCUGUACAUAUUAUAUAGGCCACUUAAAAUGAUUACUUACAGAUUGGUCUAGAAGUUGGUCAGUAGGCUUUUUUUUAGCAGGGCACUGCGACAUAAACUAAAAACAUCUUCCCCAGAUUUCGUCUGAUUUGCCACAUACAAAUUAUUUUAGUCGAAACCCCGGACUGAUUAUUGCAAUGAAAUUGAAGAAUAUCUUAAGCAUUUCGAUAAACAGUGCAGUAUGUGCUGUGAUUGAAUUCUACUCACACAAUACUCUCAUUCAUCCAUUCAUUUCUUCAUUCCUUCCUAAUUGGCCCGUUACCCACCUCAGGAGCUGGCCCAUUGACAAGACCUGUAUGCAAGACGAUGAGGGACAGUAACAUGGCAAAGUCCCUGUACCCCCAACACCCUUGUCCCGGUGCUCACCUUACCUCAUAAUGCUGAAAUUGGAUGAAAUAUUGUUGGAAGUUAUUAAUGAACUUGGAGACAUUUCACAGUGCUGGACCUGGAUAUGAGGUGCAUGCACUUCAGAGGCCAGUCACUCACUACUGUUGGCAGCUUGCCUACCUCACUCCCUUCCAGAGCCUCACUGGCGUACAAGCAGUGGUUACCUAGACAGUUGUAUAAUAAAUAAACAUUAUUACUGUACUGAAAAUCAUUGAACAAACAAACACCUGGUUUAAAUGUGAGAGUGAAAAAAAUUAUUACAUUUUUACCCCCUUUUAAAACUUCUCGUUUAAGAACAUGCGAAAGGUAUUGUUUCAAGGGGGGUAUAUUUUCAAUAGUUGUAUCCCAAAAUGUGAACAUUUGUGUUCACUUGAAGUUUUUGAAACAUCGAGUAGAACCAUUUGAAACAAUAUUGAAAAAGCUUGUUGCAAAUGCCUCUAUGCAAUAGAUAUAUCCCAGCCUUAAUAAAUAACACUAGGUCCAAGGGACUUCCCAAAUUAAUAUAAGCCUGGCACUUUUUAAAGGGUUUACGGUAUAACGCCAUCUGGAAUUUGUUCUGAGUCAGCAUAAUUGAUUUCUAGUUUGACACAGUUGUACAUUGUUACUAUUUUGCAACAUGUCAUCAGUUUGAACAUAUGGCACCGUCACCAUGGUUACACAAAUUAUAUUUAUGUUUAAUGAACAUUAUGCAUUUAUUACUGGAGGUGCUUUUUAUGACAGUGUAUGUUACAUUGUCACGGUUAAAAUGUUCUUAUUUAGGACAGAAGUGAUGAUUUUGGUGCAUAUUAAAUACCACACUGUUUUACUCCCAGUCCAGCUUGUCUCAUAAUUGUAACACUAAGCACAGGCCCUAGAAUUAACUGAAAGGAAUAAUUUGGAUCUGUGUACAAUUCAUGCAUAAAUACUACUCCAGCUUGAUGCGUCGUCUUAAAAGUCUACACAAUAUAAAUAUGGACAUUCCGUAAGCUCUAAAAUAUUGGAAAAUGACUAUUUGUUUAUCAGUGUCCGAAAAAUCACACAAGGAGGUUCUCAUAAAACCUGACAAGCCUAUGUAGAAUGUCACAAACAUGGACAACUGUAGGGGGGGGCACCAAACCUGUCAGCCAAAUGACAGCUUCCUGAAGUUUAAGUCCUUUGCAAAGACUGUGUAGGAGAAACAAAGAAGCUUAAGCUGUACUUACAAUGUCAUGUCUACCAAUAUAAAAGACUGGGAUGUGUCCUAAAAGAUGUGGAUGUCGUUUGUCAAAUUUGCACAAAUAGACCAAUUUACUGCAAUCUCAUUUAAAUCAGAUCUUACUUCUCGCUAUCACUAAACAAAGAUCUCAGGACAUCCACAUGUCACGUCAGAACGACCUUUCAUUUGACCGAUCAAAGUGUCGCUUACCAGAUCAUGAAAGCGACAGUCGGAAUGUGUUUUUUAAUCAUGCAACCUCAAAAACAUUAACACGGGGUAUCCUGAACGACAGUUAUGGCCAUACGACUGAUUCCGUCAAGAUUAUCGUCUAUCGCUCUCUCUUCCGUGGGAUAAACAUUUGAACGGAGGAGGUGUUGCACAGUAUGUGGGAAGCACUGCUAUACAAUCUCAACCAUAUAUUAGACAUUCCGGAAUGUUUUUUCAGUUUUCAAAAUUUAAUCGAGAACUGUGUCAAUAAAUUUACAAGAGUAGUCUGAAAUUGAAGUUGCCAGGUUGAAACAAGUGCCGUAAAGCUCGAGAAAGCUGCUUUCUAAUUGGCUGAUGUUAACUUCUUGUUAGUCAUUUCAGUGGUCGGUCAAAGUUCGCGAAAGGUUGUUCUGACAUGACCCGUAAUGGGAUGUCCUCAGAUCUUUGUUUAGCAGCGGCUAUAACUUGGAUCAGAUUUUAAUGAGUUUGAAUUUACUGAAAGCUACAACACUGUUGGAUGAUCCAUGUUUUCUGAGUGUCUUGUUUUGCUGUAACAGAUGUAGAUAAUAAUAGGACAGUGUGCGAACCUCGAUGAAUAGUUCAGUGAUUUGAUCUUUUGAUAAGUAACAUUCACAUUUCUGUCUGUUUUGACAUAUCAUAGAUUUGUUUGUUGAUAGGUCUGAAUGUGUUGUACUUUCUGGGACUGACAGCAUGAAGUGUGUUCUUCUCCUGGCACCACUGGACUCUGUGAAUGAAGUCCGUCCUGUCAAUGUUGCAGAUUUGUUUCCCUUAUUCAGUAAAACAACAAAGCACCCACUACCUUGGAAGUUUUACGUUGGACAUUUUCUUUAUUAUUUGCUUAUUCAAUGUGUGCCAAUACAAAUUCUGCCUACAUGCCAAAACUGUCUUUCAGUAGGUUUUUACAAUUGAAUUUGUUCUGAAACACAUGGCUCUUCUUUGCUAGUCUUCCCAGUUCUUAUAUGUUUGCUUCUUUAGGUAAGGACCCAGAACUUUGUACUUAAUUUGUCAGUACUUACUACAGCUUCGCUAUGAGGCAGUCAGUAAUCCUGUGUUUAAUCUUGGCAUAGUUGGAGCUUACUUAACCACAGACAGAUCAUUGGACAUGGGUUCUUGUGUUAUCUAUUUGAUGGUGAGAAAAGAGUUUGAAAGUGAAAUGUUUGAUUCCUUAAAAGGAAUGUUCCAUUAGAAAACUGAGGUGGUUGGUUCAAUAUGUAGGAUUUGUUUGAAUUUUUGUGAACACUGUUACUGUAGCCUUCUUGGUCAAACAAGACCGCCCCCGGGGUGUACUGGAUACAGCGUCUGCCCAGAGAGUGGAAGGUCAGGGGUUCAAUACCCGGCUGCGUGAUUCCAAUUGAUGUUAAAAGAUGGUUCUUGUUGUUACCCAGCCUGGCACUUGGCAUUAAGGAGUAAAAACAAGGAGUGGUCGCCUUGGAGGCAGUAUACUGUGUCUAAGUGGAGCAUUCCUGUUAAGCUGUGGCAUGGUAUCUGGGCUGGCACUAUAGAAUAUUGAACAAAACCCUCCAAAUCACCCACAGUUUUAAUGAAUAGUUUAUUCACUAUGGAUGACUGAUCCAAAUUAAUCUAAUGGCGACAGUUUUGCUGUGUGUGGAACAUGUCCAGGUGGGAUCUGGUCCCAACUAUGCUGCUGCUGCUGUUGUUGCUUGCGGAGGCAGGCCAUGUAGUGUACUACACAAUUGUUGAUGGGCCAAUAUGGCUGAGCAUAAAGGGGACCUAAUGUCAUCACUUGUUUGAUCAGGACAUUCAUUUUAUGCAAAUAAUGCAAAACUCGGAUAUCUAAUGCAGGACGAAGUGAGAAUUGAAUGUUUUCCGCCCACAUAUGUAAAUGAAGCCUUCCUCAUGUUUAGUAUUAUCGUAUUUCAUUCUAUUUAAGGGGCAAACCAUUUGCGUGGUUAGAUAUCAAUAUUUUUAAUGAAAUAAUCAGGAUUUGCAAACUUUUUGAUGACUACGGAAAUUUGUAUUUUGAUCAAGAGAUUUAUGGGAUCUGUUGUCCUUUUAUUAUAUCCAAAGUGUUUCCCAGACGACCUGAUGCAAUAGUCUUCAUUACCUCAGAUUACUUGUUACAGUAUUAGUCUCAUAAUAUCCUCAAACAGGUGUAACAUUGGCUUGAAGUUCUCUUUGAAAUAUUGGGUUGCACUGGUAGUCCAGUUGACUAAGAUGCCACAAUUCGCUAUCCAGAAUUAUGUCAUUUUAGUCAAUAAUUGUUAAUAAUGAUCCUUGGGUUUGUCAACACCAUACUCGUAUUUGAUUAUCCAGCUAUUGUUUUCAUUCUGUUACGAUAUAUAGCCUGGACUUGUUUGCCACUAAAGUUUAGUUUCAGAAGUGGCCACAUCAUCUCCAUCACUAACAGCACAGAUUAUUUUCUAGCUCACUAACAACAAUUAUGAUAUCUUUUCUGAAUGAGUGUUUAGCAUAGAUCUUCCUCCUGAAUUCAGGCCUCAUCAGAUGAAGCCCUUCAUAGACAGAUGCUAUGGUUGCAGAUGUAACAGAACAGAUUUUCACUGGAUGAUGAACGAUCAUAAUUUCACGAAAGGGGUAAAUGUCUCAAGCUUGUAUCACUUUGGACUUCCACAUUGAGCGGACACUCAGCAAUAUUACUGAAAUGUGUUGCAUGUUAAGUACACCCAUUGUAUCCUUGCUUGAAACCCAACUCACUUUUUGGUAAGAUAAAUACUCCUUUCAGAAUGAGUAAUUUUCAGCAACCUACCGGUUAAUGUUGAAAGUAUCUGGUGAGCUAAAUUUUUAGCUCACCUAUUUGGCAUUGUCCAUCGUCCAUCUAUCGUUAACCCUAACACUUUUAACAUCUCUGAAACUACAAGGCCUAUGGAACUGAAUGCAGUCAUGUACCUAGAGAUAAAUUGCAUUGGGUCUCAUGAUUUUAUCAACUUUCUUCUAUGUCAUUACUAAAUUUGAAAGAAAACUUUAGGACAUGAUGAAUAACAAUCAGUCAAUGUCCUGGAAAAAUCAACCGAUUUGAAAUGCAGGAAAUAUAUACUAUGGAAUAACAGACGAUUGUGGGCAUCGUUUGAUAUUUGAUCAAACUCAGAGCCUUGACCUUCACAUACACCUGCAUUUCUACUGUUUGACAUUUUCUCUGAAACUCUAUGGCCUAAGCUGCUGAAACUUCGUUGUUUGAAGGGGGCACGGGUGACCCAAUCGUCUGAGGCGCCGCAAUUUGCUGUGCAGAGUUGCGUCCCUUGGGCACACCAGAAACCUAUGAUUGUGGGUUCGAAUCCCGGGUUUGCCCCGAUUAUGUUUCUAGGUUUGUCAGCACCAUACCCGUGCUCGUGGGUUUCACCAAAGUGAUAAACGUCUGAGACCUGCAUCACUUCGGGCUUUCCUCCCACAUAAAGUGGACACGCCGUGAUAUAACUGUAAUACUAUUAAAAGCGGCGUUAUACCCAACUCACUCACUCACUCACUCACUCAUUGUUUGAAUGAUCCCUGCUAGAAAUUGCACACAGAAUUCCAACCCGACUUGAGACAUUAUUUCUUCAGAAUGUAGGUGAGCUACAAAGCCUUGUGGCUCUAGUUUGUAUUCAGGUUAGGUGCAAUACAGAUUAUGCCAUCUCUUGUCAUGUGAUCCAAGGAUGGGUGAAGUUAAGCAAGAUAUCACAUAGCCACAUCUUCUCCUUCAAGCCAGAGCCCUAUUAUGAAGACAACCAUUGUCUCUGCAGAAACACCUAACUGAGCCUAGCUGGCAGUACUGUCUUCUGAUGCUGAUGUAGGUGUUCAUAUGUUUUGUGGUUAAGCCAGGUUCUGAGCAAGCUCGACUUAUACUGUUUGUGUAUUAUAAACUGUCCAAGAUUGAUGCAGAAGUAUAAUAAACUCUUAUACCUCAUCCUGA